CCUUAUGUAGAAGGAACAGGCGAGUUACGAUUUGUUGAAAGGUUAAGCGGAAACAGCGGAGCCGUAGCAAAAGCGCGAGUGAAUAGGGCGCAUAAGUAACAGGGCGUAGACCCGAAACCAGGUGAUCUACCCAUGUCCAGGAUUAAGGUAAGGUAAUACUUACUGGAGGUCCGAACCCACGCACGUUGAAAAGUGCGGGGAUGAGGUGUGGGUAGCGGAGAAAUUCCAAUCGAACUUGGAGAUAGCUGGUUCUCUCCGAAAUAGCUUUAGGGCUAGCCUCGAGGUAAAGAGUCAUGGAGGUAGAGCACUGUUUGGACUAGGGGCCCUUCUCGGGUUACCGAAUUCAGAUAAACUCCGAAUGCCAUGUACUUAUACUCGGGAGUCAGACUGCGAGUGAUAAGAUCCGUAGUCGAAAGGGAAACAGCCCAGACCACCAGUUAAGGUCCCCAAAUAUAUGUUAAGUGGAAAAGGAUGUGGGGUUGCUUAGACAACCAGGAUGUUGGCUUAGAAGCAGCCACCAUUGAAAGAGUGCGUAAUAGCUCACUGGUCGAGUGACCCCGCGCCGAAAAUGUACCGGGGCUAAACAUAUUACCGAAACUGUGGAUGAACCUCUUUAGAGGUUCGUGGUAGGAGAGCGUUCUAAGGGCGGUGAAGUCAGACCGGAAGGACUGGUGGAGCGCUUAGAAGUGAGAAUGCCGGUAUGAGUAGCGAAAGAAGGGUGAGAAUCCCUUCCACCGAAUAUCUAAGGUUUCCUGAGGAAGGCUCGUCCGCUCAGGGUUAGUCGGGACCUAAGCCGAGGCCGAUAGGCGUAGGCGAUGGACAACAGGUAGAGAUUCCUGUACCAGUGCUAAUUGUUUAACCGAUGGGGUGACACAGAAGGAUAGGGAAUCGCACGAAUGGAAAUGUGCGUCCAAGCAGUGAGUGUGAGAAGUAGGCAAAUCCGCUUCUCGCGAAGCAUGAGCUGUGAUGGGGAAGGAAAUUAAGUACGGAAGUUCCUGAUUUCACGCUGUCAAGAAACGCCUCUAGGAAGAGUAGUACUGCCCGUACCGCAAACCGACACAGGUAGAUGAGGAGAGAAUCCUAAGGUGAGCGAGAGAACUCUCGUUAAGGAACUCGGCAAAAUGACCCCGUAACUUCGGGAGAAGGGGUGCUCUAUUAGGGUGCAAGCCCGAGAGAGCCGCAGUGAAUAGGCCCAGGCGACUGUUUAGCAA
RNAcentral lists this ribosomal RNA (1211 nucleotides) under Enterobacter hormaechei. RNAcentral's name for it is "bacterial LSU rRNA". It matches the Rfam family "Bacterial large subunit ribosomal RNA", at positions 604 to 1810 of the family's 2925-position model. The record is from RNAcentral. Lineage: Bacteria; Pseudomonadati; Pseudomonadota; Gammaproteobacteria; Enterobacterales; Enterobacteriaceae.